This 233-nucleotide ribosomal RNA is filed under the name uncultured bacterium. RNAcentral describes it as "partial 16S ribosomal RNA". It matches the Rfam family "Bacterial small subunit ribosomal RNA", at positions 100 to 334 of the family's 1533-position model. The record is from RNAcentral.
CGGGACGGGUGAGUAAUGUCUGGGAAACUGCCUGAUGGAGGGGGAUAACUACUGGAAACGGUAGCUAAUACCGCAUAACGUCGCAAGACCAAAGAGGGGGACCUUAGGGCCUCUUGCCAUCGGAUGUGCCCAGAUGGGAUUAGCUAAUAGGUGGGGUAAAGGCUCACCUAGGCGACGAUCCCUAGCUGGUCUGAGAGGAUGACCAGCCACACUGGAACUGAGACACGGUCCAG